AGGCACAAAUGGUUCGCCCGGUCCAUUAUUAUUAUUAUUGUGGGUACGACCCAAUUAUACCUUUUCUACGUCUAACGCAGACAGACAGGUCCCAACGUGUAUAAGUACACAUCGCAAUAUUAUAAGUAAAACAUUUCAUAACAUAAAUUAAACAAGAGCAGCUGAUGACAAUGAUUGGAUUUCGAUUAAUACCGCUCAGACCAGUGGCGUCGCCAGAAUUUUU
Molecule: non-coding RNA, 223 nt
Organism: Cinara cedri
Lineage: Eukaryota; Metazoa; Arthropoda; Insecta; Hemiptera; Aphididae
Source: the annotation of a GenBank genome assembly